This 1492-nucleotide ribosomal RNA is filed under the name Lactobacillus sp. NBRC 107318. Its description in RNAcentral is "bacterial SSU rRNA". It matches the Rfam family "Bacterial small subunit ribosomal RNA". The record is from RNAcentral. Lineage: Bacteria; Bacillati; Bacillota; Bacilli; Lactobacillales; Lactobacillaceae.
GACGAACGCUGGCGGCGUGCCUAAUACAUGCAAGUCGAACGAACUCUGGUAUUGAUUGGUGCUUGCAUCAUGAUUUACAUUUGAGUGAGUGGCGAACUGGUGAGUAACACGUGGGAAACCUGCCCAGAAGCGGGGGAUAACACCUGGAAACAGAUGCUAAUACCGCAUAACAACUUGGACCGCAUGGUCCGAGUUUGAAAGAUGGCUUCGGCUAUCACUUUUGGAUGGUCCCGCGGCGUAUUAGCUAGAUGGUGGGGUAACGGCUCACCAUGGCAAUGAUACGUAGCCGACCUGAGAGGGUAAUCGGCCACAUUGGGACUGAGACACGGCCCAAACUCCUACGGGAGGCAGCAGUAGGGAAUCUUCCACAAUGGACGAAAGUCUGAUGGAGCAACGCCGCGUGAGUGAAGAAGGGUUUCGGCUCGUAAAACUCUGUUGUUAAAGAAGAACAUAUCUGAGAGUAACUGUUCAGGUAUUGACGGUAUUUAACCAGAAAGCCACGGCUAACUACGUGCCAGCAGCCGCGGUAAUACGUAGGUGGCAAGCGUUGUCCGGAUUUAUUGGGCGUAAAGCGAGCGCAGGCGGUUUUUUAAGUCUGAUGUGAAAGCCUUCGGCUCAACCGAAGAAGUGCAUCGGAAACUGGGAAACUUGAGUGCAGAAGAGGACAGUGGAACUCCAUGUGUAGCGGUGAAAUGCGUAGAUAUAUGGAAGAACACCAGUGGCGAAGGCGGCUGUCUGGUCUGUAACUGACGCUGAGGCUCGAAAGUAUGGGUAGCAAACAGGAUUAGAUACCCUGGUAGUCCAUACCGUAAACGAUGAAUGCUAAGUGUUGGAGGGUUUCCGCCCUUCAGUGCUGCAGCUAACGCAUUAAGCAUUCCGCCUGGGGAGUACGGCCGCAAGGCUGAAACUCAAAGGAAUUGACGGGGGCCCGCACAAGCGGUGGAGCAUGUGGUUUAAUUCGAAGCUACGCGAAGAACCUUACCAGGUCUUGACAUACUAUGCAAAUCUAAGAGAUUAGACGUUCCCUUCGGGGACAUGGAUACAGGUGGUGCAUGGUUGUCGUCAGCUCGUGUCGUGAGAUGUUGGGUUAAGUCCCGCAACGAGCGCAACCCUUAUUAUCAGUUGCCAGCAUUAAGUUGGGCACUCUGGUGAGACUGCCGGUGACAAACCGGAGGAAGGUGGGGAUGACGUCAAAUCAUCAUGCCCCUUAUGACCUGGGCUACACACGUGCUACAAUGGAUGGUACAACGAGUUGCGAACUCGCGAGAGNAAGCUAAUCUCUUAAAGCCAUUCUCAGUUCGGAUUGUAGGCUGCAACUCGCCUACAUGAAGUCGGAAUCGCUAGUAAUCGCGGAUCAGCAUGCCGCGGUGAAUACGUUCCCGGGCCUUGUACACACCGCCCGUCACACCAUGAGAGUUUGUAACACCCAAAGUCGGUGGGGUAACCUUUUAGGAACCAGCCGCCUAAGGUGGGACAGAUGAUUAGGGUGAAG